AGCUUUGCGCAGUGGCAGUAUCGUAGCCAAUGAAGUUUAUCUGAGGCGUGAUUAUUGCUAAUUGAAAACUUUUUUCUUUCUUUCUUUUUUUAAAUAGAAAUGGGGUGUCACCAUGUUGGCCAGGCUGGUCUCGAACUCCGGACCCCAGGUGAUCCACCCAUCUUGGCCUCCCAAAGUGAAAACUUUUUUCAAUACCCCACCAUGACAACUUGAAAUAUAGUCAGCAUUGGCAAUUUUUGACAGUCUCUAUGGAGA
Callithrix jacchus (white-tufted-ear marmoset) is the source of this 255-nucleotide small nuclear RNA. Its record names the gene U4. It matches the Rfam family "U4 spliceosomal RNA". From Rfam's summary of the family: U4 small nuclear RNA (U4 snRNA) is a component of the major U2-dependent spliceosome. The structure of U4 snRNA from yeast and human has been reported. The record is from Ensembl. NCBI's taxonomy places the organism in Eukaryota, Metazoa, Chordata, Mammalia, Primates, Cebidae.